This 627-nucleotide long non-coding RNA is filed under the name Oryzias javanicus (javanese ricefish). Its description in RNAcentral is "lncRNA (ENSOJAG00000020088.1)". Lineage: Eukaryota; Metazoa; Chordata; Actinopteri; Beloniformes; Adrianichthyidae. The record is from RNAcentral.
UUAAAUAAAGUUUUAUUUAAACUCUAAGUCGCGCGUUGAUGACGUCUACAAGGAGCGCUGUGUUUGGAGGUUCAUGUUCGUGAACCGGCGGGGUUGAUGACAUUUACGCGCGUCUGAAGGCAUCGCUCGUGCAGGGCUGAACUCUCCACACCGCCGGAUUCGGUCCGGUCCGGUUCCAGACGCCCAGAUCCGCCAUCUUGGUUUGGUUCGGGAGGUCAUCCGGCGGUUCUGAUUCCAAACCGAACCGGAUCGAUGAAUGUGAUCAGAUGUCUGUCAGCCUCAGUUCAACAGUAGGCGUGUUUGAGUUGACCAAGCUGCUGCAGGAGGGGGCGGAGCAAGACACCUGAGAUGAAGGUGGACGACGAGACUGUACGAGAACGAGGAGUUGGGGGUUGUCCUCAACAUUCAGAUGAAUUUUAAUACUCCACUCCUCCUAGUAUGAUCUGUGCUGUUAUGUCUUUUAUAGUAUUUUUUUACAUCUCUUAGUAUAAAACAGAUUUAAAAAAAAUAGUCGGGGGAUUCAUUACAUGUACACAGUCCCAAAUAAUCAGAUAAAAUAAAAAUUAAAGUUCAUUUUAAAGACAACUAUGACACAAAUAACCACAGAUUAUUUAAAAUCUUGUAUAU